Molecule: ribosomal RNA, 421 nt
Filed under: uncultured eukaryote
Lineage: Eukaryota
Description: SSU rRNA
Rfam family: Eukaryotic small subunit ribosomal RNA
Source: RNAcentral
UAGUCAUAUGCUUGUCUCAAAGAUUAAGCCAUGCAUGUCUCGGUAUAAAUUCUUGUACGAUGAAACUGCGAAUGGCUCAUUACAUCAGUUACAAUCUACACCCUGAUUAUUAUACGGAUACCUAGGGUAAUUCUCUUGCUAACACGUGCCUGAAAUCCUCUGGAUGUCAUUGCUAGCUUGAGAUCAACUCACAAGUUCACUUGUGACCCUGGUGAAUCAUAGCAAUUUGAAUUUAUCGCUCUUCGCGAAGCAGGGUUCGAGUUUCUGACCUAUCAUGUUUGACGGUUGUGUAUUGGACCACCGUGCAGUUGACGGGUAACAGAGAAUUAGGGUUUGAUUCUGGAGAGGGUGCCUGAGAAACGGCAACCACAUCUAAGGAAGGCAGCAGGCACGCAAAUUACCCAAUCCUGACACAGAGAGG